AGCAGAAAUAAAAAUUGAAUGACAAAUGAAAGUGAUAAUUCUGAGGAAAGAGCGGUGAUUUGUGUAGCGAAUUGGAGGUGGGUGCAAAAGCUUACAGCACCUGGUAUUCCCAGGCGGUCUCCCAUCCAAGUACUAAGCAGGCCCGACCCUGCUUAGCUUCCGAGAUGGGACGAAAUCGGGCGUUCUCAGGGUAGUAUGGCCGUAAGUGGAGGAAGACGUGAAAAUGUCCCCCUUUAUAGGUGACGGGGCAUUUCCGGGUCGGGGGGGAGGGGGGGU
Long non-coding RNA from Hippocampus comes (tiger tail seahorse), 276 nucleotides. RefSeq lists it as uncharacterized. The record is from RefSeq and is a predicted model, not a curated record. The transcript is spliced from 3 exons. Lineage: Eukaryota; Metazoa; Chordata; Actinopteri; Syngnathiformes; Syngnathidae.